GCAGCGGUAGUUCAGUUGGUUAGAAUUAGUUUUUUCUUCUUGGGGCGCUUAGCUCAGUUGGCGCGGGUUCGAGCCCCGUCCGCUGCGCCA
This 90-nucleotide transfer RNA is filed under the name Acinetobacter pittii PHEA-2. RNAcentral describes it as "tRNA-Lys (TTT) (tRNA-Lys-TTT-2-1)". It matches the Rfam family "tRNA". Rfam says of the family: Transfer RNA (tRNA) molecules are approximately 80 nucleotides in length. Their secondary structure includes four short double-helical elements and three loops (D, anti-codon, and T loops). The record is from RNAcentral. Lineage: Bacteria; Pseudomonadati; Pseudomonadota; Gammaproteobacteria; Moraxellales; Moraxellaceae.